GCCGAAGUGGCGGAACUGGCAGACGCGCUGCGUUCAGGGCGCAGUGAUCGCAAAGGUCGUGUGGGUUCAAAUCCCACCUUCGGCACCA
RNAcentral lists this transfer RNA (88 nucleotides) under Bacillota bacterium. RNAcentral's name for it is "Firmicutes bacterium (anaerobic digester metagenome) tRNA-Leu". It matches the Rfam family "tRNA". From Rfam's summary of the family: Transfer RNA (tRNA) molecules are approximately 80 nucleotides in length. The record is from RNAcentral. Lineage: Bacteria; Bacillati; Bacillota. RNAcentral also lists the same sequence under 1 other name.